RNAcentral lists this ribosomal RNA (484 nucleotides) under uncultured bacterium. Its description in RNAcentral is "partial 16S ribosomal RNA". It matches the Rfam family "Bacterial small subunit ribosomal RNA", at positions 30 to 507 of the family's 1533-position model. The record is from RNAcentral.
AUUGAACGCUGGCGGCAUGCUUUAUACAUGCAAGUCGAACGGAAGCGCGGGCUUCGGCCUGGCGGCGAGUGGCGAACGGGUGAGUAAUGCAUCGGAACGUGCCCAGUAGUGGGGGAUAGCCUGGCGAAAGCCGGAUUAAUACCGCAUACGACAUGAGGGUGAAAGCGGGGGACCGAAAGGGCUCGCGCUAUUGGAGCGGCCGACGUCGCAUUAGCUAGUUGGUAGGGUAAAGGCUUACCAAGGCGACGAUCCGUAGCCGGCCUGAGAGGACGACCAGCCACACUGGAACUGAGAAACGGUCCCGACUCCCACGGGAGGCAGCAGUAGGGAAUUUUCGGCAAUGGGCGACACCCUGACCCAGCCCCGCCGCGUGAGUGAUGAAGGUCUUCGGAUUGUAAAACCCUUUUUUUAGGGAAGAAAAACUGUGUACGUAACUCCCCGGGUGUUGACCGUACCCAAUAAGAAAGCCACGGCUAACUACGUG